CAGCCCUCCUAGACCUAUUUAAGAGCUGGCUACCAGUGGGGAAGGAUCUUGUUUGGAGAUUCUCUCUUCUGGUGAUUUUUGUGGGUGAACAUAUGGCCUUGGCUUCCGUUAGUGUGCUGUCCUCCCUUGUCUGUCACCUGGCAGAAGACAACACCAUUUUUUCUAUGGGUUUGGAUGGGAGCUGCCAUAGGCUGCAUUCUGGUUCAUUCCUGGGCAAGUGCCUGACCAUGAGCACUGCAUGCAUAUUGCUUUCAUCCCUGUUCCUUUGUUGGAUCAAAGCAACAAGUUCCCUGGAAGACAAAACUGAGCAGUCUCAGCCCUGGCAGAUCAUACCCAUGUUGAGGUUUGAUGAGCAUGGACUUACACCAGCAUGAGAGGAAUGCGAGAUAGGGUUACGAUUUCUUUUCCAGGACAGUCACGUUGCACAGCUCCCCACGUGCACCAUUUAUAGAAGGACCAAGGGCUGCAGCUUGUCCUGCAGUCCUAACAGAGAUCAAGCUGUUACAAGAAGAUCCUGCAGCCCUUUCAGUACACCAGCACUUACACCGUUCUUCUCACAGGACUCAGGACAGAGGAAUCCUACCCACAGGAUCAUCCCGCUGCUCAUCAGUACGGCCUCUGUCCAUCCUGCAGCCCUUUGAGCUUGGCCUGUGUGAGUGCCUAUCUGCCUUCAAUGGAGGAAUGGUAACACCUCCAUACUCAACAAAGUCAGUGCCUCAAAUCUAUUUGGAGGAGCGGCAGCUUGUACAGCAGAGAGACUGGGAUUGUGGUUGCUAAAGUAGUUUAUGUGUUGUUUAGCCUUUCAUUUUUUUAAAAGGAGGUGAUGGUUUUUAGGAGAUUCAUCAAUUAUAUUGAUAAGCAAGAGCAGCAGCUCACUGUAAAGUGUUUAGUCUUGAUAGUCAACUCUAUCUAAGGAUGAGAAAUGGUUCUUCAUGAAUAGACUGGGUGAUUUCCUCUCGUUCCAUUUUUAGCUGAAUGAACAUGUCUCUGCUGUCAGAACGAUGAACCCUGGAUUCAUACAGUGUGGGGCGGACUAAUGAAUGCCAUGGGAAGUACCACCCUCAUAAAGUCCAAAAAAGGAAAAUAAUGAGAUUUCUAGGACAUGCUCUUAGUGGAAUAUGAUGGCACACCAGGAGUUGUUUCAAAUGAAAUGUAAAACCGAUAUUUUUUUGCAAGGUGAAGGACACAGACUACAGCCAGAAUGUUUUGCUUCCAAAUAGACAUCUGGCAAAUAUCGACCUACAAUUGUGUUUAGCGUGGAAUGGAAAGUAUGGGCUGUGACAUGAGCAGUCAAUAGUUUUUUAGACCAUCGAUCCUUACAGUGGCUAUUGAUUGUUUUUUAGGCUAUAGCACAAUCUAUUUUUUCAUUUAGCUUAGCUUAAACUAAUUGAAUGGUAAGUUGUGAGUCUGUACAUGUGAAAAGGACUCAAUACGCAUUGGUAAUAUAUAAUAAAAUGAAUACUCAUUUAUAAGUGCUUGUUUCUCCCUUAACAUUCAGUGGCACCACUCAAAGAUGACUUUGGUAGGACAAAAAGUGGAAGUUUACUUCAGGGAAGUCCAGGUGUUACCAUUCACCCUCUGCUGCCUGACUUGAACUUUUUCCCUCUCAAAAUUUGACUGCUAUGAAAAUGCCCGACUCUUGGAAUGAACACACAGGGAUCUAGCUGACUUCUUUAGCACAUCCUCUUUCUGUUCACUGUCAUCCCACCUGAUUUGUUUGCUUUUUUUUUUUUUUUUUUUUUUUCCGCAGAGAAAAUCUGCUGUUGCCUUCUACUUGGGGACUUUAUAUAAGGUUCAGGAAGUACUCUUGAGUGUACUGGAUUUUAGAAACUGUAGAAUAAGCUAUUUUCUGUCCAGUUAGAAGAAGCUGUACGUGUACAAGAAAUGUCCAUUAACUACUACUAAGCUAGGUCAUGCCUCGAGGUGCUAGUUCUUGUGAUUGCUAUUUAUA
Centrocercus urophasianus (Greater sage-grouse) is the source of this 1951-nucleotide long non-coding RNA. RefSeq lists it as uncharacterized. Lineage: Eukaryota; Metazoa; Chordata; Aves; Galliformes; Phasianidae. The record is from RefSeq and is a predicted model, not a curated record. The transcript has 4 exons.